RNAcentral lists this ribosomal RNA (207 nucleotides) under uncultured bacterium. RNAcentral's name for it is "partial 16S ribosomal RNA". It matches the Rfam family "Bacterial small subunit ribosomal RNA", at positions 568 to 774 of the family's 1533-position model. The record is from RNAcentral.
CGCGUAGGCGGCUGGGAAAGUCAGAUGUGAAAUUCCGGAGCUCAACUCCGGAGCUGCAUUUGAAACUUCUCAGCUAGAGUUCAGUUAGGGAAAACGGAAUUCCACGUGUAGCGGUGAAAUGCGUAGAUAUGUGGAAGAACACCGGUGGUGAAGACGGUUUUCUGGGCUGAUACUGACGCUGAGGCGCGAAAGCAAGGGGAGCAAACA